Molecule: ribosomal RNA, 441 nt
Filed under: uncultured bacterium
Lineage: Bacteria
Description: partial 16S ribosomal RNA
Rfam family: Bacterial small subunit ribosomal RNA
Source: RNAcentral
CCUACGGGGGGCAGCAGUGGGGAAUAUUGCACAAUGGGGGAAACCCUGAUGCAGCGACGCCGCGUGAGUGAAGACGUCUUUCGGUAUGUAAAGCUUUAUCAGCAGGGAAGCAGAAAGACGGUACCUGACUAUGAAGCCCAGGCUAACUACGUGCCAGCAGCCGUGGGAAGACGGCAGGGGCCAGCGUUAUCCGGAUUUACUGGGGGUAAAGGGAGCGUAGACGGCUGUGCAAGUCUGAAGGUAAAGUCCAGGGCGCAACCCUGGGACUGCUUUUGAAACUGUGGAGCGAGAGUGCUGGAGAGGUAAGUGGAAUGCGUAGGGUAGCGGUGAAAUGCGGAGAUAUUAGGAGGAACACCAGUGGCGAAGGCGGCUUACGGGACAGUAACUGACGUUGAGGCUCGAAAGCGUGGGGAGCAAACAGGAUUAGAUACCCGAGUAGUC